Molecule: ribosomal RNA, 594 nt
Filed under: Erythrobacter colymbi
Lineage: Bacteria; Pseudomonadati; Pseudomonadota; Alphaproteobacteria; Sphingomonadales; Erythrobacteraceae
Description: bacterial SSU rRNA
Rfam family: Bacterial small subunit ribosomal RNA
Source: RNAcentral
CUUCGGGUCUAGUGGUUCACUGGUGCGUAACGCGUGGGAACCUGCCUUUAGGUUCGGAAUAACUCAGAGAAAUUUGAGCUAAUACCGGAUGAUGUCUUCGGACCAAAGAUUUAUCGCCUUUAGAUGGGCCCGCGUUGGAUUAGCUAGUUGGUGGGGUAAAGGCCUACCAAGGCGACGAUCCAUAGCUGGUCUGAGAGGAUGAUCAGCCACACUGGGACUGAGACACGGCCCAGACUCCUACGGGAGGCAGCAGUGGGGAAUAUUGGACAAUGGGCGAAAGCCUGAUCCAGCAAUGCCGCGUGAGUGAUGAAGGCCUUAGGGUUGUAAAGCUCUUUUACCCGAGAUGAUAAUGACAGUAUCGGGAGAAUAAGCUCCGGCUAACUCCGUGCCAGCAGCCGCGGUAAUACGGAGGGAGCUAGCGUUGUUCGGAAUUACUGGGCGUAAAGCGCACGUAGGCGGCUUUUUAAGUCAGGGGUGAAAUCCCGGGGCUCAACCCCGGAACUGCCCUUGAAACUGGGAAGCUAGAAUCUUGGAGAGGCGAGUGGAAUUCCGAGUGUAGAGGUGAAAUUCGUUGAUAUUCGGAGGAACACCAGU